AACGAACGCUGGCGGCAGGCCUAACACAUGCAAGUCGAGCGGACCUUUCGGGGUCAGCGGCGGACGGGUGAGUAACGCGUGGGAAUAUGCCCUUCUCUACGGCAUAGUCCUGGGAAACUGGGGGCAAUACCGAAUACGCGCUUUGGGGGAAGGAUUUAUCGGGGAAGGAUUAGCCGGCGUUGGAUUAGGUAGUUGGUGGGGUAAUGGCCUACCAAGCCGACGAUCCAUAGCUGGUUAGAGAGGAUGAUCAGCCACACUGGGACUGAGACACGGCCCAGACUCCUACGGGAGGCAGCAAUGGGGAAUCUUAGACAAUGGGGGCAACCCUGAUGUAGCCAUGCCGCGUGAAUGAUGAAGGCCUUAGGGUUGUAAAGCUCUUUCAGCUGGGAAGAUAAUGACGGUACCAGCAGAAAAAGCCCCGGCUAACUCCGUG
This 433-nucleotide ribosomal RNA is filed under the name uncultured bacterium. RNAcentral describes it as "partial 16S ribosomal RNA". It matches the Rfam family "Bacterial small subunit ribosomal RNA", at positions 29 to 507 of the family's 1533-position model. The record is from RNAcentral.